UGGGGAAUCUUCCGCAAUGGGCGAAAGCCUGACGGAGCAACGCCGCGUGAAUGAAGAAGGCCUUCGGGUCGUAAAGUUCUGUUGAAAGGGAAGAAGUCUCUUUAUGUAAAUAAUGUAAAGAGGUGACGGUACCUUUUGAGGAAGCUCCGGCUAACUACGUGCCAGCAGCCGCGGUAAUACGUAGGGAGCAAGCGUUGUCCGGAAUUACUGGGCGUAAAGGGCGCGUAGGCGGGAUAUUAAGUUAGGUGUGAAAACUCUGGGCUCAACUUGGAGACUGCACCUAAAACUGGUAUUCUUGAGGACAGGAGAGGAAAGUGGAAUUCCUGGGUGAGCGGUGAAAUGCGUAGAUAUUAGGAGGAACACCAGUGGCGAAGGCGACUUUCUGGACUGUAACUGACGCUGAGGCGCGAAAGCGUGGGGAGUGAACG
Molecule: ribosomal RNA, 428 nt
Filed under: uncultured prokaryote
Description: bacterial SSU rRNA
Rfam family: Bacterial small subunit ribosomal RNA
Source: RNAcentral